CCUGAGGCCUCCUUGGCUCUUAGAUAGCUGCCCUUUCACUUUGUUCUCAUAUAGGAGUUCUUCUAUGUUGUCCGUGUCCUAAUCUCCUCUUCACAUAAGGACACUAGUCAUUUUGUAUUAAGGCUCACCCCAACAACCCCAUUUCAACAUAAUUGCCUUUUUAAAAGCCCCAUGUCCAAAUGCAAUCACAUUCUGAGAUACUGGCAUGAGAACUUUAACAUGAAGUUGGGGAGGACAGAUUCAGUCCUAACAACUCUGGCCUCUGGUCCCCCAAAAUUCUUGUCCUUCUCAUAUGCAAAAUACACGCACCCCGUCUGAACAGCCCCUUAAGUCUUAACCCAUUCCAGCAUCAACUCUAAAUCCAAAACCUCAUCUGAAUAUCUUUGAAAUGGGGUAUGAAUGAGACUUGAGGUACUAUUCAUCCUGAGGCAAAAUUCCUCUGUGGUUGCGAACCUGUGAAACAAGUUAACUACUUCCAAAAAAACAAUGUUGGGACAUCAUAGGACUGACACUACCAUUCAAAAGAGAAAAAAUGGAAAGAAGAAAGGGGUUACUGGUCCCAAGCAAGUCUGCAAUCUAGCAGGGCAAUUUCCAUUAAAUUUUAAGGCUAAAGAACAAUCCUCUUUGGCUUCGUGCUCUAGGCCCACUGGGGUGACCGCCCCAUCCCCUUGGCCCUGGGCAUCAAGAAGAAAACUGCCCAACCCUAUCCCAGGCCUGUGUCCUCUAGGCCUAUGGUGACAGUGGCAGCUCUGACAACCUCUGAACUUUGGUGUUAUUCUUUUCCUUACUACAGUAGAGUUCUAUUGACUUCGUUCAGAAGUCUGACAGCCUUCCUUUGCUUGUCCUGUAACUGUCCCCUCAGUCCAAGCUUGUGGCAUGCGCCAAAAUACCCAAG
Molecule: long non-coding RNA, 895 nt
Filed under: Marmota monax (woodchuck)
Lineage: Eukaryota; Metazoa; Chordata; Mammalia; Rodentia; Sciuridae
Source: RNAcentral